UCAGUCCAUGAGAGGGUGGUGUGGAGACCAUGUCUAACUGUGGUAACCUUCUUCUGUUUAAUCUGGGAAAACUUCAGGCUUAUUGUACAUUGACCCUUGUGAUGUACUUGCUCCUUAUGGACACCACAAUUCACUUUAUGUGGCAUGAUGUUUUCCAAAGUGACGUCCAUGUUAAAUAUAAUGUAUGAGCAUAUUGGAAGAAAGAGGUACUUGAGAAGUCAAUAUGAAAAUCCUCAUAAAAUCCCUGGAGAGACUUGAAUUCAUUUUUCUAGUAAAACAAACCUUGUUGUUGUGUUAUGUAUGUGCCUAGAAGAUUAUUGUUGUAUGAUAUACACAAGUCUGUGAUUGUGCAGAGUUGUCCAAUAUUUGAUACAACAUUUGUGGUUGUGAGUUGAAGGAUGUUGUGGAUCCUCAUCUAACUUUCAAAGAAGCCUAAACUAAGAUUAUUGAGUGUGCUUAUUGCAUGUAAAAAACAUGAAAUAUCAAAGCUACAUGUGUGUUUCGCUGGUAGUCUUUUUCUUUUAUGACUUGUGGCUAAUGAAAUGCAAUUUGUAUAAGUCAAUAAAUAAAUAAAAUAUGGCUAGUGUUGCAAUGGCCAGUUGAAGUUCAGAUAACAUAAAUAGCACGAUUGACAUUUAAGACGAGACAGUCAGUACCAUAUUUCUUAUAGCUUGAUAAAGUAUACUUGGAAGUUUUGUAUAUAAAAAGUAUUAAAGAUGGCAUAAAUAAAUGAAAAUAAUAUUACUAGAAAUUGUCUUAUAUAUUGCAUUACUGAAAACUUUGUGUAAAGCAAGUCUGUGUAGCAAAAUUUUAUUAUUAACAAAAUUAUGUCAUUUAGUUUAGAAGAGCAUGAGAAUUCUUCUUCUCUAACUGAGACUGUUUUUUAUUUGUAAAAAUGAAAAGUGGCUUUAAAAAAGGUUCACAUGUUUUUGUUUACAUUAUUAGGACACUGUUCUUUCAUCAGGUUUAAUAUAACAUAUUUUUAGAUUUAUCUUUUUUGAUUUGUUAAUACUUUUAUAUAUAUUGGCAAUAAUAAUACUCUAUAAUACAUAUAAUAAUAAUAUUCAUAUUACUCUACAAAAUGCCACAGAUCUUACAACAUUUUUGAUAUAGUGUGAUUUUUAAGGAAGCUUGCCAAAGCAUGCAUACUUUUUUAAUAUUAUUUUCUGUUUGUGUAUAACAUUUCAAUAACUUUAAAUUGCUUCAGAAAUAAAGUUGAAAAAAUACAGAUGAAAAUUCUAAUAUGAAUAUAUACAUACAUGUGAAUAAACAUAUUACUUGGAUUAAUGCUAAUAGUAAUGUACUUGCUUUUCCCAUAGAUUUUGCUAGAUUCAUAAACUUUUAUACUGAUUUUUGAUGUAGAAAAGUUUUUGUAACCAAAAAAUGUUCAACAUUUGAAAGUGAACAGCAGUGUACAUUGAAUAUAAAUGUAUUGCAGUCUGUAAUCAGUAUGUCAUUAUUCCUGAAGACCUGUAUCUGUUUGUAUAAAUUACUGUAUGUAUGUUUUAUUUAAAUGAAAUAAAUAAACUGUAAUA
Long non-coding RNA from Limulus polyphemus (Atlantic horseshoe crab), 1535 nucleotides. RefSeq lists it as uncharacterized. The transcript has 2 exons. The record is from RefSeq and is a predicted model, not a curated record. NCBI's taxonomy places the organism in Eukaryota, Metazoa, Arthropoda, Merostomata, Xiphosura, Limulidae.